AUUGAACGCUGGCGGCAGGCCUAACACAUGCAAGUCGAGCGGCAGCGGAAAGUAGCUUGCUACUUUGCCGGCGAGCGGCGGACGGGUGAGUAAUGUCUGGGAAACUGCCUGAUGGAGGGGGAUAACUACUGGAAACGGUAGCUAAUACCGCAUAACGUCGCAAGACCAAAGAGGGGGACCUUCGGGCCUCUUGCCAUCAGAUGUGCCCAGAUGGGAUUAGCUAGUAGGUGGGGUAAUGGCUCACCUAGGCGACGAUCACUAGCUGGUCUGAGAGGAUGACCGGCCACACUGGAACUGAGGCACGGUCCAGACUCCUACGGGAGGCAGCAGUGGGGAAUAUUGCACAAUGGGCGCAAGCCUGAUGCAGCCAUGCCGCGUGUAUGAAGAAGGCCUUCGGGUUGUAAAGUACUUUCAGCGGGGAGGAAGGUGUUGAGGUUAAUAACCUCAGCAAUUGACGUUACCCGCAGAAGAAGCACCGGCUAACUCCGUGCCAGCCGCCGCUGUAA
This 506-nucleotide ribosomal RNA is filed under the name uncultured bacterium. Its description in RNAcentral is "partial 16S ribosomal RNA". It matches the Rfam family "Bacterial small subunit ribosomal RNA", at positions 30 to 523 of the family's 1533-position model. The record is from RNAcentral.